UCCCAGACUCCUACGGGAGGCAGCAGUGAGGAAUAUUGGUCAAUGGGCGCGAGCCUGAACCAGCCAAGUCGCGUGAGGGAUGACGGUCCUACGGAUUGUAAACCUCUUUUGCCGGGGAGCAAGCGUGCGUUCGUGAACGCGCGUCGAGAGUACCCGGAGAAAAAGCAUCGGCUAACUCCGUGCCAGCAGCCGCGGUAAUACGGAGGAUGCGAGCGUUAUCCGGAUUUAUUGGGUGUAAAGGGUGCGUAGACGGGAAAACAAGUUAGUUGUGAAAUCCCUCGGCUUAACUGAGGAACUGCAACUAAAACUAUUUUUCUUGAGUGUUGGAGAGGAAAGUGGAAUUCCUAGUGUAGCGGUGAAAUGCGUAGAUAUUAGGAGGAACACCAGUGGCGAAGGCGACUUUCUGGACAAUAACUGACGUUGAGGCACGAAAGUGUGGGGAGCAAACAGGAUUAGAUACCCCGGUAUA
This 469-nucleotide ribosomal RNA is filed under the name uncultured bacterium. Its description in RNAcentral is "bacterial SSU rRNA". It matches the Rfam family "Bacterial small subunit ribosomal RNA", at positions 329 to 794 of the family's 1533-position model. The record is from RNAcentral.